This 2057-nucleotide ribosomal RNA is filed under the name Lachnoanaerobaculum saburreum DSM 3986. The record is from RNAcentral. Lineage: Bacteria; Bacillati; Bacillota; Clostridia; Lachnospirales; Lachnospiraceae.
CUAAACCCGGUAACGGGCAUGGUUACACAGCUCCCAUAGUAGUCCGAGGCGUUAAUGACGUUCACAUGGCAAAGGGGAGCAGCUUAUCACUAAAUACUAAAAUGAAGGAAGGUGCGAGAGGCAUUGAGAAAUCCAACUGAAGUAUUAAAAAAUUUGAUGGAAAAAUCAAAGAAUGAAACUUACAGAUUCCAAAGGCUAUAUCGGAAUCUAUACAAUUCGGAGUUCUAUUGGCUUGCAUUUAAAAAUAUCUAUGCAAAUGACGGUAGUAUGACUGCCGGAGCAGAUGGAACAACGAUAGAUGGCAUGAGUAACGAAAGAAUUGAAAAGAUAAUUAAAUCUUUGAAAGACCGUAGUUAUCAACCAAAGCCUGCAAGAAGAGAGUAUAUUGCAAAGAAAAACAGUGAUAAAAAACGUCCGCUUGGAAUUCAGUCAGGCAAUGACAAACUUGUGCAGGAAGUCGUUAAGAUGAUUUUAGAAAACAUUUAUGAACCUAUAUUUAGCAAUAAAUCACAUGGGUUCAGGCCAAACAGGAGCUGUCAGACAGCACUCAUGCAGAUACAGAAAACCUUCACAGGGACUAACUGGUUUAUUGAAGGCGACAUUCAUGCAUGUUUCGACAGUUUCGACCACCAUAUAAUCAUAGACCUUUUGAAAAAGAGGAUUGAUGAUGAAGUCUUUAUUCAGCUUAUAUGGAAAUUCCUUAAGGCAGGAUAUAUGGAGCAAUGGACUUACAAUAGAACCUAUAAUGGAGUGCCGCAAGGUGCGGGAGUCAGUCCGGUGUUAGCGAAUAUCUACCUUCAUGAACUGGAUAAGUUUGUGGAGAAAUAUGCAGAAGCAUUUAAUACAGAGUCAAAAAGAAAGCAUUUCUCAACCGCAUAUAGGACAAGUGUUGAUAGGGCAUAUAGAUAUAGAAAAGCAGGCAAAGAAAUAUGGAAUGACCUAACCGAUGAAGAAAAGAAAGUCAGAAUCCAAAAAUUGAAGGAAUUGGAAAGGAUUGAAAAAUCCCUAACCUCAUAUGUCUACAAUGAUGAGAAUUAUAAGAGGGUACAAUAUACAAGAUAUGCGGAUGACUUUAUUAUCGGAGUAAUUGGCAGUAAAAAAGAUGCAGAAGCUAUCAAAGAAGACAUUAAGAUAUACCUGCAAAACACAUUAAAAUUAGAAAUGUCCGAUAGCAAGACUAAGAUAACGCAUACGGGAGAUAGGGCAAGAUUCUUAGGCUAUGACAUUACUGUAUCAAGAGCACAAACACUAACAAAGACAGCUAAUGGCAAGACUCAAAGAUGUCAUUCAGGUGUAGUCCGGCUCCUUGUUCCAAGGGAAAAGUGGGUAAAUAAGCUAAUUGAAUACAAAGCAAUAAAAAUCAAAAUUAACGAAAACGGCAAAGAGAGAUUCUUAGCCCUCCAUAGGGGGAAGCUGGUGAACCGGAGUGAUAUAGAAAUUCUAGCAAGAUACAAUGCAGAAGUUCGUGGACUCUACAAUUAUUAUUCUAUUGCAAAUGAUUCUUAUAAAAUAGGAAGAUUUGCAAAUUUGAUGAAGUACAGCAUGUACAAGACAUUUGCCUGUAAGUAUAGAACAAAUGUCCAUGAGAUAAAGCGAAGAUAUUGCAGAAAUGACUUAUUUACAGUUGCAUAUGAGAUAAAACAGGGAACAAAGAUAACGACAUUCUACAAAGAUGGCUUUAAACGAAAAGGGUUCGCUACUAAAUUUGAUAAUGUUAGCGAACUGCCACAGUUUUCAAAAUAUGUCAAAUCAAAUACUCUUAAACAGAGGGUUGAGCGACAUACCUGUGAACUAUGUCAUAAAGACUGUAGAGAAUUGGAAAUACACUUAGUUAAGAAACUCAAAGAUUUGAAAGGGCAAACAGAGUGGGAAAGACUCAUGAAACAAAAGAGAAGAAAAACACUUGUAGUAUGCCCGGAAUGCCAUAAGUUAAUUCAUUCUUAAUCACCACAAAAGAUAAGUGGAAAGCCGUAUACAUCGAGAGGUGUCCGUGCGGUUUGGGAGGGAGUGGAAGCGAGUCCUUUUCGGAGGAUGAGCUGAAACUUACCUCAUGAUAG